Physeter macrocephalus (sperm whale) is the source of this 359-nucleotide long non-coding RNA. RefSeq lists it as uncharacterized. The record is from RefSeq and is a predicted model, not a curated record. NCBI's taxonomy places the organism in Eukaryota, Metazoa, Chordata, Mammalia, Artiodactyla, Physeteridae. The transcript is spliced from 4 exons.
CCGGACUGAGUGGAUGCGGAGCCCUGGAGCUGGAGAACUAGAGGGCGGAUCUUGAAUGGGAUGCUAGACGUUGCUCAUGAGAAACCCGAGGAGGAUACUAAAAAGACAGCUACAGUUUUCCUGAUGCCUGCUGCCAAGUUUCUUGAGGGCCCAGCUGUUGGGGGUCUGUGGUUGAGUUUUUAAGCAGGAUCAAGUUACAAAGCGCCACACACCUAUCCACAGGGGCUCUGAUGUGGUAUGGGGAAGGUAUUGGCCAGGCAUCUGGUAGCAGAUUGACUCUAUGGGACCCCUUCCUGCAAUGCCGGUUGUAUCAGGAGCGACUAUAGCUUUUUCCAGGAAGCCUCCUGUAAGUCUUUUGU